CCUACGGGGUGCAGCAGUAGGGAAUAUUGCUCAAUGGGGGAAACCCUGAAGCAGCAACGCCGCGUGGAGGAUGAAGGUUUUCGGAUUGUAAACUCCUUUUGUUAGAGAAGAUAAUGACGGUAUCUAACGAAUAAGCACCGGCUAACUCCGUGCCAGCAGCCGCGGUAAUACGGAGGGUGCAAGCGUUACUCGGAAUCACUGGGCGUAAAGAGCGCGUAGGCGGGAUAGCAAGUCAGAUGUGAAAUCCUAGGGCUUAACCAUAGAACUGCAUUUGAAACUGUUAUUCUAGAGUAUGGGAGAGGUAGGUGGAAUUCUUGGUGUAGGGGUAAAAUCCGUAGAGAUCAAGAGGAAUACUCAUGGCGAAGGCGACCUGCUAGAACAUAACUGACGCUGAUGCGCGAAAGCGUGGGGAGCAAACAGGAUUAGAUACCCUUGUAGUC
Molecule: ribosomal RNA, 440 nt
Filed under: uncultured bacterium
Lineage: Bacteria
Description: partial 16S ribosomal RNA
Rfam family: Bacterial small subunit ribosomal RNA
Source: RNAcentral